GCUCAGGAUGAACGCUAGCGGGAGGCCUAACACAUGCAAGCCGAGCGGUAGAAGNNNUUCGGNNNUUUGAGAGCGGCGCACGGGUGCGGAACACGUGUGCAACCUACCUUUAUCAGGGGGAUAGCCUUUCGAAAGGAAGAUUAAUACCCCAUAAUAUAUUGAAUGGCAUCAUUCGAUAUUGAAAACUCCGGUGGAUAGAGAUGGGCACGCGCAAGAUUAGAUAGUUGGUGAGGUAACGGCUCACCAAGUCCAUGAUCUUUAGGGGGCCUGAGAGGGUGAUCCCCCACACUGGUACUGAGACACGGACCAGACUCCUACGGGAGGCAGCAGUGAGGAAUAUUGGACAAUGGGUGAGAGCCUGAUCCAGCCAUCCCGCGUGAAGGACGACGGCCCUAUGGGUUGUAAACUUCUUUUGUAUAGGGAUAAACCUACUCUCGUGAGAGUAGCUGAAGGUACUAUACGAAUAAGCACCGGCUAACUCCGUGCCA
Molecule: ribosomal RNA, 488 nt
Filed under: Chryseobacterium jejuense
Lineage: Bacteria; Pseudomonadati; Bacteroidota; Flavobacteriia; Flavobacteriales; Weeksellaceae
Description: bacterial SSU rRNA
Rfam family: Bacterial small subunit ribosomal RNA
Source: RNAcentral